GAUGAACGCUGGCGGCGUGCCUAAUACAUGCAAGUCGAGCGAACGGACGAGAAGCUUGCUUCUCUGAUGUUAGCGGCGGACGGGUGAGUAACACGUGGAUAACCUACCUAUAAGACUGGGAUAACUUCGAGAAACCGGAGCUAAUACCGGAUAAUAUUUUGAACCGCAUGGUUCAAAAGUGAAAGACGGUCUUGCUGUCUCUUAUAGAUGCAUCCGCGCUGCAUUAGCUAGUUGGUAAGGUAACGGCUUACCAAGGCAACGAUGCAUAGCCGACCGUAGAGGGUGAUCGGCCACAUUGGAACUGAGACACGGUCCAGACUACUACGGGAGGCAGCAGUAGGGAAUCUUCCGCAAUGGGCGAAAGCCUGACGGAGCAACGCCGCGUGAGUGAUGAAGGUCUUCGGAUCGUAAAACUCUGUUAUUAGGGAAGAACAUAUGUGUAAGUAACUGUGCACAUCUUGACGGUACCUAAUCAGAAAGCCACGGCUAACUACGUG
This 497-nucleotide ribosomal RNA is filed under the name uncultured bacterium. Its description in RNAcentral is "partial 16S ribosomal RNA". It matches the Rfam family "Bacterial small subunit ribosomal RNA", at positions 28 to 507 of the family's 1533-position model. The record is from RNAcentral.